Non-coding RNA from Ictidomys tridecemlineatus (thirteen-lined ground squirrel), 1270 nucleotides. Lineage: Eukaryota; Metazoa; Chordata; Mammalia; Rodentia; Sciuridae. The record is from RefSeq and is a predicted model, not a curated record.
CUUUCCAUACUAAGUCACAGGACAUUUCAUCUCUCUGCCAGCAGUAUUCAAGACCAGAGCAAGUCGGAACCUGCAGUUGGGUUUGACAAGUGCCUGACCACUGCCCCUCAGGGACUCAGAACGAGGGAAGAGGCGUGCUCAUCUCCACAUCGCUGCGUCAUGGGCAGAAUUCUCCAAGGCUGCCACUCCUAGCAGAAAUGAUGGGGGUGCUAAAUGAGUUCCUCCGCUGGAAGAGCGGAUUCCUACUGAGAAGCCGCCCCCUCCCCUCCACCACUUCUUUUCCCUGCACGGACACCUGGGUGCCAGAGGAUGCGCUCACAUUCUCCUCCUUCCUGAUCUGCUAUACACAGAUGGGGUUAUAAGGACACAAGCUUCUUCCAGAAGUAACAGGCAACCCAAUGGGAAAAUGAGCCAAUGACUUAAUGGCCUCCUCACCAAAGUGGUGAUUGCUCCCAUGGAGUUAAGAAGAAAGUAGAUGAAUAAGAGGAGUGAAUGAAACUGCUCAUGGAGAAGAACAGCUCCCACCCAUCUUGACGUGGGCCAAGCAUAAGAAACAUCAUCCUGGGAGGCAGGAUCCACCAGCGACCUGUGUCCAGGUGUCUGUCUGUCCCUUGUGCAGGGAUGGGUAAGGUAGACCAGCCGUCUGCUGCUUGAGCUUUUUUACGGUUCGCGUGGACUUCCAAGAACAUCAGAAGGAAUGUCUCCAGACACAUUCACCUUGCUAGAUUGUAGAAGCAGCAAGAAUCCAGGCCAAAAACUAAAGGACAUUUUUUAAAGUGAAGAAGGUGCUGUCCCUCCAGAUGGUGACCGCCUGUGCCUGGUAACUCCAGAAACGCUAUCUGCUGCCUCUGGAUUUUAGUAGGCUGUUCCUUCAACCACAGUCUGCAGCCAGGCAUUCAUCUCCUGGGAGCCCAGCUGCAGGCACGUCUUGCGCAGCAGAGCCACUGGCCUUGCUGAGUGGGAGAAGAAAGGAAAGCAAAACAGAGCCACAGACCACACCCACCUGUGGAAUGCUAUGCACUCAAGAAGCAAGACAGCUGCCAAGUCCUAUUAGAAAAUGCACAACUUCUUUCUCACCAGAAUGAGCCAUUCUCCUCCAUAUCUGGAAGUGUGUUGGAGUGUUUUUAAGCAACCUGAUUUGAGCCCUUUUGUGUAGGAUAUUUCCAAGUCAAGCUCUGUGUUGCAGUGUCUGUAUCUGAAGCAGAGUUUAGUGGAUAUGUGUCCAUUAGUGUCCAUGUGUAUCCGUGUAUGUGUGUGUGUGUGUGUGUGU